UACAGAGGUGGCAAGCGUUGUUCGGAAUUACUGGGCGUAAAGGGCGCGUAGGCGGGCCACCAAGUCAGGGGUGAAAUCCCACGGCUCAACCGUGGAAGUGCCUCUGAUACUUGUGGCCUCGAGGGGUGCAGGGGCGUGCGGAACUCAGGGUGGAGCGGUGAAAUGCGUAGAUAUCCUGAGGAACACCGGUGGCGAAAGCGGCGCGCUGGACACCUUCUGACGCUGAGGCGCGAAAGCCAGGGGAGCAAACGGG
RNAcentral lists this ribosomal RNA (253 nucleotides) under uncultured bacterium. RNAcentral describes it as "partial 16S ribosomal RNA". It matches the Rfam family "Bacterial small subunit ribosomal RNA", at positions 524 to 776 of the family's 1533-position model. The record is from RNAcentral.